UCCAUACGUGUCGUUUGAACUUGUUUGUUAAUUUGUUUAUCGGUAGCACGUCCUUCGAAGUACACGCGAUUGGCUAGUGUUUCUUAAUUAAUAACUCGAGUUAAGAAAAUUGAAACGAAAGUUUUUGAAAAUAUCGCUUGAAUUUGGAAAGAAAUUUCGAAUUAACCGAUGUUUCCAUGUGUUUUUAGGACACGCCCGCGUUCAAAUUGGUUCUCUUCUUACCUGUAGACCGACGUACCGAGGUCCUCGCGGUACCAAAGCACAAGGGACCAGGAGACGCUUAACGAGAAAAUACACGCGUUAUCGCAAAAAUUAGAAAGAAAUGGAGGAAAUUAAUUUUAAUAAGAAUUGAAUUACACUGUGUGUAUUUUUCAACCAUUUUGACCAUUAAAAUUGCGCGUGCAAAUAACGAAGAGGACUUUCUCUCGGGACAGCCGUAUAGACACUCGUUAGUUUCUUUGAACGUGGAGAAAUUAAGAGACUCAAAAAGUGGCCGAGGGGAAAGAAAAUGCGUGCAAAGAUGAGAUGGAUGAAAGGGAUUGCGAGUUGAAUAUUACAAAGAGGAAAUGGAGAAGUAUUUUUUUAACGUUAUUACGUAAAGAUUAUUCCAUGGAUUUUUCUUAUGUGGAAGAAAAAAAUUGAAUAUCACAGAAAAAAAAAAAAAAUAAAGUUUGAAUAUCACAAAAAGGACGCAAGAAAAGUAUGGAUUAAAAGCUUAAAAGCUUUGAAAUUAGUACGUGUUUCACGAACGAAAGGAUUUAAAAAGAAAAUCAAAUUAAAAUUUCGUUGCUAUGGAAAGUUGCUUAUUUAAUUUUUUAAUUAAGAAGAUUAUGAGAAUUAAUUAAAAUUAGCAAAGGAAUCAGUAUAGAUUUAACUUUUUUAAAGUGAUACCAAAUUUUUUCCUGUUGCUGGAUUUUCCUAAGAUUUUGAGUUUUUUGAAUAGCAAAAAACUUUCAAAGAUUUCUUUCAAAUGUUCGAUCGUGAUAGGGAUGUCUCGUGAUUGAUGUAGCUUUUUCAAGCACAAGUUUUAGCACAAGUAAGAAGUUCUCAGCGCUUCAAGGAUCAAAAAUAUUCUAUAAAAUUCUCGGUGAAUUUUUUUUCCUCUCCCUCUCUCCCUCCCUCUCGUUUAAUCUAGAGGAGCUUUUCAUUAAGAAACUUUUUUAUUAAUCGAAGUCCAUUUAAUCGAAACUUUGAAAUAUUUAUAUCGUAUAAACAUCGAAUUUUUAUUAAAAACUUCGUAACAAUUCCUAAUCAAUCGAACGAGUCUAAUCAAAAGUUUGAGA
Long non-coding RNA from Apis dorsata (giant honeybee), 1283 nucleotides. RefSeq lists it as uncharacterized. NCBI's taxonomy places the organism in Eukaryota, Metazoa, Arthropoda, Insecta, Hymenoptera, Apidae. The record is from RefSeq and is a predicted model, not a curated record. The transcript has 3 exons.